Molecule: ribosomal RNA, 1018 nt
Filed under: uncultured marine bacterium
Lineage: Bacteria
Description: bacterial SSU rRNA
Rfam family: Bacterial small subunit ribosomal RNA
Source: RNAcentral
CUGUGAUUGAUCCUUCGGGUGAAGUCACAGGAGGACAGCGGCAAACGGGGUAGUUAGGCGCAGGUUACGUACCCUCUGGUUGGGGAUAGCCACGGGAAACUGUGGGUAAUACCCAAUGAUCCGUCGUGUUGUAAUGACGUGGCGGCAAAGGUGAGAUUCCGCCGGAGGAGCGGUCUGCGUGGUAUUAGCUUGUUGGUGAGGUAAUGGCUCACCAAGGCGAAGAUGCCUAGGGGGUGUGAGAGCAUGGCCCCCACCACUGGGACUGAGACACUGCCCAGACACCUACGGGUGGCUGCAGUCGAGAAUCUUUGGCAAUGCACGCAAGUGUGACCAAGCGACGCCGAGUGCUGGAUGAAGGCCUUCGGGUUGUAAACAGCUGUCAGAGGGGAUGAAAUUGUUGGGGGCUAUCCCCCUUCAUUGACAGAGCCUCAGAGGAAGCGCGGGCUAAGUUCGUGCCAGCAGCCGCGGUAAUACGAACUGCGCGAACGUUAUUCGGAAUCACUGGGCUUAAAGGGUGCGUAGGCGGCCUGUUAAGUAGGGUGUGAAAUUUGUCGGCUCAACCGGCAAACUGCAUUCUAAACUGGCAGGCUUGAGUGAGUCAGGGGUGUGCGGAACUUCCGGUGGAGCGGUGAAAUGCGUUGAUAUCGGAAGGAACGCCGGUGGCGAAAGCGGCACACUGGGGCUUUUCUGACGCUGAGGCACGAAAGCUAGGGGAGCGAACAGGAUUAGAUACCCUGGUAGUCCUAGCUGUAAACGAUGAAUACUGGGUUGGGGGAGCAUGUCUCUCCCAGCCGUAGCGAAAGCGUUAAGUAUUCCGCCUGGGGAGUAUGGUCGCAAGGCUGAAACUCAAAGGAAUUGACGGGGGCUCACACAAGCGGUGGGAGGAUGUGGCUUAAUUCGAGGCAACGCGAAGAACCUUAUCCCGGACUUGACAUCUAUGGAUUAGCUCUGUGAAAGCAGAGUGACGCCUUCGGGUGGAACAUAGACAGGUGCUGCAUGGCUGUCGUCAGCUCGUGCC